This 820-nucleotide ribosomal RNA is filed under the name Niphargus sp. ND541. RNAcentral's name for it is "partial large subunit ribosomal RNA". Lineage: Eukaryota; Metazoa; Arthropoda; Malacostraca; Amphipoda; Niphargidae. The record is from RNAcentral.
GCAUGCUCCACGGUGCUCACAACACAGCCACACACACACACGAGGUGCGUGUGUGACCAGUGCUGUACGUGAGCCCGGAGCUUGCGCCUGCACCAAGAAUUGAAAACAGGAUCAGCUCUGCUUUAAGCCGGGCAACACACACGGUGCCACUAGGCCGGCGGGUUCGCCUUAGCUCCCCCGCCACAGUCUUGCUUUCACUUCGCCUUCGGGUUUUGGGAGACCCUUAGACUUGCACACAUGCUAUACUCCUUGGCCCGUGUUUCGAGACGUGACCGAUGGUGCUGGACUUGACACCACUCAGACCAACGCCCGGCUGAGAGACCUUGCAGAAUGCAGAGGGUCAUACCGCCUGGGAUGGACACUUCCGGCACAGUGGAAGCGCCCGGACGUCGGUCUGGCCAGAAAGCAGCUCGUCGCAAGAGGAUCAUACCAGGUUUAUCUCGGUCGCCGCCCGACCCAGGACUAGACACGCGUCCAUGCUCCUCCAAGAGCUGGAGCAAGAGAGACGCAUCGUUGCCAUCGUCCUGGAUGCGCGAUCGGCAGUUUGAGCCUGUGGGUGACCUCACAACGUGCCGUGGUGGGCGUAACCGCAUUAGACACAGCAGCUCUGAACGUCCAUGCUAAAGGAAACGGCCGGAAGCCCUUCGGCCGAAGCCUGAGACCGCCAAACCGAAUCCCCGUACGCCAGCUAAGCGGCAAACUCAAUGCUCCGCCUGACGAACCUUGCUGCAUGCCUUCCGGAACACCACAUGUGAUGCCCGAGACUGCGGAAGCCUUCCAAGCUCCAUCGGCUUAUACUCUGAGCGGUUUCACGGUCUUU